Long non-coding RNA from Dromaius novaehollandiae (emu), 1028 nucleotides. RefSeq lists it as uncharacterized. Lineage: Eukaryota; Metazoa; Chordata; Aves; Casuariiformes; Dromaiidae. The transcript has 3 exons. The record is from RefSeq and is a predicted model, not a curated record.
CCCUUUGCCACCAGAGGAGCCAGGCUUUCAUCCUGGUGGUAACGUCUUCGUUACAUUUCUGCUUUAUACCCCAUAGCAAACAUAUAAUCUGUAUGCUUCACAAAUUGCUACUGUGGCUAUACUGUAUACCUCACUGGUAUCCAGGACACCCUACCACUUAAUCAGCUCACGAGACCGUUCUGGACCUAUAACGAGAUUCCUCUAAGUUAAACCAGCAUGAUGAAACUCCCCUUGCUCUUCUGUGGAGCAGUGCUUGGGUUCAUUCUCCAAAGACGUUUUCCUGGCACUUCUCAGAAGAGGGCUGUACCUUGGUCCUAAAGAAGUCAGUAACAGCUGAUGAAGAAUGAUACUAAUACAGUGAUGGUGAAAGAUACCUUGUUGAAUGGAAAGCUUGCAGACAUGGAGGACCAUCUAAUCAUCAGACUCACCUUGCCACCUGAACAGGAACAUCUGCAAGUGGAGAGAUUUUUCACCUUCGGUCAUAAGAUUCCCAAAUACAUUAAUUAUUCCUAGAUUGGAAGUAAGGCAGUAAUUACUUACAAGAGAUUUGGCACCUUGAAAAGUAUUUGUGCAAAAAUUUCCCUCCAUUAAAUUCUUGUCCCAGUAAACCUCUCCAGCAAACAGUCUAACAUCCCUAAGUCUGGCAGGUCCAGUUCAGUCCCUUCUGCUAGCCGCAUACCCAUGAAUUUGACAACAUUUUCCAAAGGUGCUGUUUAAAGCUGGUUGUAGCAAAAAAUUAAACAAACAACAUUGAUAAUGGGAAUAACCUCAGAGAGAAUUUAUUUUUUGGUGACCAGAACUCUUACAAUAAUUUACUAUUGUAUGAAGUGAUCCAGACGGUUUACUUAAAAUAUUCCUCUCUUCCACAUGGAGAGAGAGAUGACCACAGGAAACAGUUCUAGAAAGCCAUUUUCUUUCCCUUGUGGCUUGUUCUGCUAAAUCAGUUACAGCAAAGAGCUGCUCCAAAUGGUGCAUUUUUCCUGUCUUGGUUUAUUUUGUACUUGUUCAAUAAAAUAGAUUCCAGAAAA